GUCAGGAUGGCCGAGCGGUCCAAGGCGCUACGUUCAGGUCGCAGUUCUCCAGGCGUGGGUUCAAAACCCACUCCUGACA
Molecule: non-coding RNA, 79 nt
Organism: Dreissena polymorpha
Lineage: Eukaryota; Metazoa; Mollusca; Bivalvia; Myida; Dreissenidae
Source: the annotation of a RefSeq genome assembly